This is a long non-coding RNA of Perca flavescens (yellow perch), 248 nucleotides long. RefSeq lists it as uncharacterized. NCBI's taxonomy places the organism in Eukaryota, Metazoa, Chordata, Actinopteri, Perciformes, Percidae. The transcript is spliced from 3 exons. The record is from RefSeq and is a predicted model, not a curated record.
GAGUGAACCUGCAUCAAUUAGAUUUUUCGUGACGCUGUGCGUCUGACGUCAUGACGUCUCCGCCUUCUCCAGAACUUUCUACCUGCACUUGAACCGCCAUUUUCUCGGCUCAGACAACUGGGAAGAAGAUAGCUAGAUACUGAAUUACCACUGUCUCCAUCGUUUUUGAAGCCAGGAUACAACUCAUUUGGACUACCAAAGACCACCAUGGCUGGUUCAACACCUGCAAGACUGAAGAUGAUUUUAGG